The sequence is a transfer RNA, 88 nucleotides long. It matches the Rfam family "tRNA". From Rfam's summary of the family: Transfer RNA (tRNA) molecules are approximately 80 nucleotides in length. Their secondary structure includes four short double-helical elements and three loops (D, anti-codon, and T loops).
UCCGAUAUGGUGUAGUGGUUAACAUCCCGCGUUUUCAUGCUUAAAAAACAGUUCCGCGGAGCCCGGGGUUCAAUUCCCCGUAUCGGAG